RNAcentral lists this ribosomal RNA (230 nucleotides) under uncultured Aminicenantes bacterium. RNAcentral describes it as "partial 16S ribosomal RNA". It matches the Rfam family "Bacterial small subunit ribosomal RNA", at positions 1152 to 1382 of the family's 1533-position model. Lineage: Bacteria; Candidatus Aminicenantota. The record is from RNAcentral.
CCGGUGACGAGCCGAGGAAGUGGGGAUGACGGUCAAGUCAGCAUGGCCUUUAUGUCCAGGGCCACACACGUGCUACAAUGGACGGUACAGAGGGACGCAAGACCGCAAGGUGGAGCAAAUCCUCAAAACCGUUCUCAGUUCGGAUUGCAGGCUGCAAUUCGCCUGCAUGAAGCUGGAAUUGCUAGUAAUCGCAGAUCAGCUACGCUGCGGUGAAUACGUUCUCGGGCCUU